This 566-nucleotide ribosomal RNA is filed under the name uncultured bacterium. RNAcentral describes it as "bacterial SSU rRNA". It matches the Rfam family "Bacterial small subunit ribosomal RNA", at positions 59 to 628 of the family's 1533-position model. The record is from RNAcentral.
ACGGGGUGCUCAUGACGGAGGAUUCGUCCAACGGAUUGAGUUACCUAGUGGCGGACGGGUGAGUAACGCGUGAGGAACCUGCCUUGGAGAGGGGGAUAACACUCCGAAAGGAGUGCUAAUACCGCAUGAUGCAGUUGGGUCGCAUGGCUCUGACUGCCAAAGAUUUAUCGCUCUGAGAUGGCCUCGCGUCUGAUUAGCUAGUAGGUGGGGUAACGGCCCACCUAGGCGACGAUCAGUAGCCGGACUGAGAGGUUGACCGGCCACAUUGGGACUGAGACACGGCCCAGACUCCUACGGGAGGCAGCAGUGGGGAAUAUUGGGCAAUGGGCGCAAGCCUGACCCAGCAACGCCGCGUGAAGGAAGAAGGCUUUCGGGUUGUAAACUUCUUUUGUCAGGGACGAAACAAAUGACGGUACCUGACGAAUAAGCCACGGCUAACUACGUGCCAGCAGCCGCGGUAAUACGUAGGUGGCAAGCGUUAUCCGGAUUUACUGGGUGUAAAGGGCGUGUAGGCGGGAUUGCAAGUCAGAUGUGAAAACUGGGGGCUCAACCUCCAGCCUGCAUUU